UAAGAAAUUCUCCCCUGGGCAUCUGUUCACCUUCAAAGAGUGAAAGAAUAUAUAAUUACUGAAAAUAAGGCUGCAAGUCAAGGUUUUUAUGAAGUUAUGUUCAAAUACACCAUACGAUUUCAAGUUCGGCUGGAAGUUCCCACUGAAGUGAUUCCAUUACUUUGAACACCCGGACUAGUAGUCCAACAGUACAGUAGAUUUUCAACAGACCAAGCCAAAAUGAAGACAAAUGUGCAUUCAAGACCGAUCUGGGAAAUGAUAAUAGAGAAGCACAGAUCUGGAAAAAGGCUCUAUUGUGGAAAAAAGGAGCAUGAGAUACUCAUUUGUGUGAACAAAAGGAUGAGGUAUUCAGCCAAUACUUUUCCUAGGUACUGUACAUGGCAGCUGGGGAAAAUCUAUCACAUUCACAAGUGCUCUUCAAGUAAAGAAAAUCUGCUGUCCUGACCUAUUUUGUUCACAGAUGAACUCAAACAGUACCAUGUUGAUUUCAAAAAAAUCUAACACGUGAUUCAAUUUUGUCAAAAACCACAGUGUAUACAAGUAAAUAAAUUAGCUCAGAUUGCCCAGUUUCAAUGUAUGCACUGGUUUCUGAUUAAGCCAACUAACAAUGUCCUCCUCAAAGCAUCUAAAGACUGGUGACAAAAUUGCGAGAGCUGCCCACAGAUUAGUAAGGCAAUAGCUAGUAGGAGUCUUGUAUGCAUAAUCAGAUAUCCUGUCUCCAAAAUCUUUACAAUCCUCAGUUAUGUCUUACUCCAAUAGGAUUGGUUGAAAAUCACUAAAUAGAGGAAAGGGAAACCUGAAAAUCUAACAUUAACACUGAGCAUCAUGAAGUCUCAUUGCAUUACACUAAAUAGUACUAGAAGCAUGAACAUUUCGAGUCAAGUAAGAUGUUCUCCUUAAGGGUUGUCUUUGGUGGAUUCCUCAGGUGGCUGUAGAGGCUGAGCUGGGAUCCACAUAUUCUGGUGCAAUGAAGGCACAAGUAAGUGGUGGCAAUGGUUAGUAGUUGAGUCUUUUGGUUGUUCAGUCUCUUCUUUUGUAGCUUCACCUCACACAAAAUAACUUCCUGUUGAUUGCAAUCUAUAAUCCUCCCACAGCUGACAAAUCCACAUUUCUUCUUGUUCAGUAACAUUUUACAAAGCAUAGAGAAAGAGAUGCACAGAAAAUACUGUGAAUGUGAAAUUUCAACAGGAGUAGCUCAGUAGCAAUACUUCUAGCUCAACUAGCCAAAUCCUCCUGCUUAAUGGUCUAUUGCGGUGCAGACUCGAGGGGCCGAAUGGUCUACUUCUGCACCUAUUGUCUAUUGUCUAUUGCAGUUGGGAGUGAACCAUCAUGAAUAAUAAACCUAGCCUCCUCUUCACUAAUCCACUUGCUGUAGACACACACCUAAUGACAAUAAGGAUAAAUGUGAAUUUAUGGAGACUUAAGACAAACAAUCAAGGGGCCACUUUAUUAGGUAUACCUGCAAACCUGUUUGUUAAUGCAAAUAUCAGCCAAUCAUGUGGCAGCAACUCAAUGCAUAAAAGUAUGCAGAUAUGGACAAGAGGUUAACUUAUUAUUCAGUCCAAACUUCAGAAUGGGGAAGAAAUGCGAUAUCGGUGACUUUGACCAUAGCAUGAUUGUUGGUGCCAGAUAAGAUAGUUUGAGUUUCUCAGAAACUGCUGAUCUCUUGGAAUUUUCACACACAAGUCUCUAGAACUUGUAGAGAAAGCUGCGAGACACAAAAAAACAUCCAGUGAGCAGCAGUUCUGUGGAUGAAAAUGCCUUGUUAAUGAGAGAGGUCAGAGGAGAAUGACCAGACUGGUUCAUCCUGACGUGAGGUCAAUAAUAACUCAAAUAGCCAUAUAUUACAACAGUGGUGUGCAGAAGAGCAUCUCUGAACACACAUGUUGAACCUUGAAGUGGAUGGGCUACAGCAGCAGUAGACCAUGAACAUAUACUCAGUGGUCACUUUAUUAGGUACAGGAAAUAAAUUCUGUAGAGUGAAUAGGAAUAUAUUCAACAACAGGCAUACCUAAAAAUGAGGUUCCACCCUGGGAAUGCUACAACACAGGACUAGCUGACAGUAAGCAUUAAAGCAGCAUUUCUUGUUUAUCCAUGUUUCAGGAUCUCGGCUUUGCUGCCAAGGUCAGUACUUAUUGGCCAUCCUUUGUUGCCCUAUGGAGGUGGUUAUGAGCUGCCAACUUGAACUGCUGUUGCCUUUUAUUUGAAGGCACUCCCACAACAGAUUCAGAGUACCAAGAUAUGGGCCCAAAACGUAUGAAGACCAGCAACAUAUCUUCAAAUAUGAACUUGGAGGGAAACCUGCAUGUGGUAGUCUUCCCUUACGUAUCUUGCUUUUGCCCUCUUUGAUGGCAGAGUUGGAAGGUUUCAAAGAUGCUGUCAGAGUGGCCAAGGCAAGUAAAUACAAUGCAUUUUACAGACUGCAGAGACUCCAGCCAUUAUGUGCCAAUGGUGAAGGGAAUAAAUGUUUUAGUUGUGGAUAAGGUGUCAGUCAAGC
This is a long non-coding RNA of Hypanus sabinus (Atlantic stingray), 2497 nucleotides long. RefSeq lists it as uncharacterized. The record is from RefSeq and is a predicted model, not a curated record. The transcript is spliced from 3 exons. NCBI's taxonomy places the organism in Eukaryota, Metazoa, Chordata, Chondrichthyes, Myliobatiformes, Dasyatidae.